RNAcentral lists this ribosomal RNA (484 nucleotides) under uncultured bacterium. Its description in RNAcentral is "bacterial SSU rRNA". It matches the Rfam family "Bacterial small subunit ribosomal RNA", at positions 21 to 507 of the family's 1533-position model. The record is from RNAcentral.
GGCUCAGAUUGAACGCUGGCGGCAUGCUUUACACAUGCAAGUCGAACGGUAACAGGUUAAGCUGACGAGUGGCGAACGGGUGAGUAAUGCAUCGGAACGUGCCCGAUCGUGGGGGAUAACGCAGCGAAAGCUGCGCUAAUACCGCAUACGAUCUGAGGAUGAAAGCGGGGGACCGUAAGGCCUCGCGCGAUCGGAGCGGCCGAUGUCAGAUUAGGUAGUUGGUGGGGUAAAGGCUCACCAAGCCGACGAUCUGUAGCUGGUCUGAGAGGACGACCAGCCACACUGGGACUGAGACACGGCCCAGACUCCUACGGGAGGCAGCAGUGGGGAAUUUUGGACAAUGGGGGAAACCCUGAUCCAGCCAUUCCGCGUGUGCGAUGAAGGCCUUCGGGUUGUAAAGCACUUUUGGCAGGAAAGAAAUCGCAUCAAUUAAUACUUGGUGUGGAUGACGGUACCUGCAGAAUAAGCACCGGCUAACUACGUG